GUAAAAUUUUACUUUUAAUCGGUAAAUAUUGGUCUAUGCCUUACAAUGAAAUGUAUCUGCCUCAUGUGGUUCUGCUGAAGGACAUUAACUUGCCAUUCAGCUGGGACUAAUUACAAGCUGCAGCAGCUGGAGAGAGACAAAGAUCAGGAGGCCAGAUGGCUUGGAGAAGUGCAGGGGAUUUUCUUUCAGUAACAGGUUUUAAAGGACUUCCUCAGUUAUCUGGAAAAAAUUAUCACAGGAUGUCAGAAAGAAAAACUCCUUGGAAGAAAGAUCUUGUGAACAAGAUUUGUCUGAAUGGCUCUCAGGGAGGAUUCUUACCAGAAAAAGACUCUGUCAAGUUCCUGGUAAUCUGAUUUGUUGAACUAUGGAAUCCUUUUACCAAAAGAAGAGUGGUGACAACUAGUCUCAUCUGGUAUUCUCCAAGUUCCCAGUAAGUACUAUCAGUAUUAUUCAGGUGUGCAUAAAAUUACUUUGUUAAUGCAAAUCAGAUCUGAGAAAGGUAUGCUAUAAGUUCUUUAUACGUAAGUUAUUAUUAUUUCAUCUGCUACUUGGAAUUAAGGCCGCUUGUGGAGCCUUAUGUCAAGGAGGCUGCCAGUGUACUGUCUCCUUCAGAAAAGGUAGGACUGUCACCUCUUGAAAUGCGGCUGGCAGAGCACGAGGACACACUUUUUCCUAUUGUUCCCUGGCUGUCAUGAACUGGGUGGAUUGAUAAUUAGUCUGAGAGUCCACGUUAUCAAACAUCCAGCCUGAGAAUGAGAUUCAUGUACAUAGUGUUCAAUAUUCUUUUCUUGUGUACUAACUUAGUGACAUAUUUUGAGAAGGAAAUCAAAUUUCCUGUUUCUGUUAUUAACUCUCUUUGGAAAACUGUUUUUACCCUUGCAAAGUGCAAUUCUGUAAAAUUAUAAGUUAUAAUAAUGCAGGUCUUCAAAGUAUAUGGAUAAGAAGAGAAGGUUUCAGGACAUAGAGAACCUCUAAUAGAGUGCUGAUUUUUUUUG
RNAcentral lists this long non-coding RNA (995 nucleotides) under Anser cygnoides (Swan goose). RNAcentral's name for it is "lncRNA (ENSACDG00005001556.1)". Lineage: Eukaryota; Metazoa; Chordata; Aves; Anseriformes; Anatidae. The record is from RNAcentral.